CCUACGGGAGGCAGCAGUGGGGAAUUUUGCGCAAUGGGGGAAACCCUGACGCAGCAACGCCGCGUGGAGGAUGAAGUCCCUCGGGACGUAAACUCCUUUCGACCGGGACGAUACUGACGGUACCGGAAGAAGAAGCACCGGCUAACUCUGUGCCAGCAGCCGCGGUAAU
Molecule: ribosomal RNA, 169 nt
Filed under: uncultured bacterium
Lineage: Bacteria
Description: partial 16S ribosomal RNA
Rfam family: Bacterial small subunit ribosomal RNA
Source: RNAcentral